ACUUCUAUCUUCUCACGCUGUUAGGUCAGAGGGAUUGUUUUGUAGCAUGAUGGAGUUGUAUUUCUCUGAAAUUCAUUUAGGCUAUACAGUAUAUUUCUUGCCAAAUUCAAAAACUGUAAAAGGCCUUUUGCCAUGUUAUUCUCUUUGGUGGGACUUUGACUCUUUCUCCCUGAACUGUCUGUGUGUGCC
Long non-coding RNA from Sebastes umbrosus (honeycomb rockfish), 189 nucleotides. RefSeq lists it as uncharacterized. The record is from RefSeq and is a predicted model, not a curated record. NCBI's taxonomy places the organism in Eukaryota, Metazoa, Chordata, Actinopteri, Perciformes, Sebastidae. The transcript is spliced from 6 exons.